AAAGACUCAAUUUUUUGAUUUCCGUGUCAAACGUUUGAUCGUUCGUUUUAUAUGAAUUUUUUUAUGAUUAGUAAUUUUAUUGUUGUUAGAUGAUAAAAUAUACUUUAUGCAUGACUUAUCUUUUUAAAUAUUUUUAUAUUAUCUUUUUAAAUAUUUUUAUAAUUUUUUUAAAUAAUAUGGACGGUCAAACGUUAUAUACGGAAACAGGCUGUGUUUAGU
RNAcentral lists this microRNA precursor (219 nucleotides) under Oryza sativa Indica Group (long-grained rice). Its description in RNAcentral is "MIR812 microRNA precursor family". It matches the Rfam family "MIR812 microRNA precursor family". The record is from Rfam by way of RNAcentral. Lineage: Eukaryota; Viridiplantae; Streptophyta; Magnoliopsida; Poales; Poaceae.